GGGAUUUUUCGUAUUUAGUCACGCCGGUCACGUGAUAUGAGCAAAAUGUUCCACAGGGGUACUUCCGGUUAAUUUUGUUUACACUGGUAACAAAAUUGUUUUUGACAAAAUAUAGAUUUUGCGGCACAAACUGUCGCAAAUCAGAUAAAGGAUAGCAAGGGAUAUAUAUUUACUUGGGAAGAUGUCAAGUUUACCUUUUCCCAAACCCGGGAAAAGCGUCCACGCAGAGGAAACGAUGGCGUCAUUUGUGUAGAAAACCACGAGCAGCCGAAAUUGAGUGCGAUUAUUACAUUCCAUGAAAGCUGAACCAACAAAGAAACAUCAUUGUUCUAGCCAGUUUGCUUAUAUUAACUUUUAGGAAAACCAAGAGGUUGAUAACAAUGGCUGAUCUGCAUAUAAUGACUGCUAGUUAUUGGCUGGUAUGCAGUGAAAGGGAGCUAAAAAGGAGUAAAAAGUUCAUAUAAGCCAGGUAGUGUGGAUUAAAUAAACCAGUGUUAAGGAAUAUCCAGUAAUGGCAUGACAUCAUGAGAGUUUGGCAUACCGACAUUCAGAUGAUUAAUGAUGAAACUGAAGACCUCAAGUGAAAGGCAUGGAAAAUGAUCCUGUUCCCAUAAUGAUAUACCUGAAAAAGAGGAGGGAUGCCACAAUAUUGAUAAUAGGCUUUUGUCAAUUUGAGAAGCAAAGAUGUAUAAAAAAAAAAAAAAAAUAAUGCUGAAAUUAUAAUUCAUGUAUUUGUUAAAAAUACUGUUCACUGCACAUACAUGUAUAUUUUUUUUUAACUUAUUUCGAAAUACAUGAAGUAAUUCAUAUUAAAACUGUGACUGUAUGAGUUUUCAUGAUUUUUAUCAAUAAAGCUUACCAUAUUCAUUGUACAUA
Molecule: long non-coding RNA, 876 nt
Organism: Ostrea edulis (European flat oyster)
Lineage: Eukaryota; Metazoa; Mollusca; Bivalvia; Ostreida; Ostreidae
Exons: 3
Source: RefSeq, a predicted model, not a curated record